Molecule: ribosomal RNA, 377 nt
Filed under: uncultured cyanobacterium
Lineage: Bacteria; Bacillati; Cyanobacteriota
Description: bacterial SSU rRNA
Rfam family: Bacterial small subunit ribosomal RNA
Source: RNAcentral
CGAAAGCCUGACGGAGCAACGCCGCGUGAGGGAGGAAGGUCUUUGGAUUGUAAACCUCUUUUCUCAAGGAAGAUAAUGACGGUACUUGAGGAAUCAGCAUCGGCUAACUCCGUGCCAGCAGCCGCGGUAAUACGGGGGAUGCAAGCGUUAUCCGGAAUUAUUGGGCGUAAAGAGUCCGUAGGUGGCAAUUCAAGUCUGUGGUCAAAGACUAGAGCUUAACUCUGGAAAGGCCAUGGAAACUGAAGAGCUAGAGUUCGGGAGGGGUAGAGGGAAUUCCCAGUGUAGCGGUGAAAUGCGUAGAGAUUGGGAAGAACACCAGUGGCGAAGGCGCUCUACUGGACCGAAACUGACACUCAGGGACGAAAGCUAGGGGAGCG